Molecule: ribosomal RNA, 253 nt
Filed under: uncultured bacterium
Lineage: Bacteria
Description: partial 16S ribosomal RNA
Rfam family: Bacterial small subunit ribosomal RNA
Source: RNAcentral
UACGAAGGGGGCUAGCGUUGCUCGGAAUUACUGGGCGUAAAGGGCGCGUAGGCGGACAGUUUAGUCAGAGGUGAAAGCCCAGGGCUCAACCUUGGAACUGCCUUUGAUACUGGCUGUCUUGAGUUCGGGAGAGGUGAGUGGAAUUCCGAGUGUAGAGGUGAAAUUCGUAGAUAUUCGGAAGAACACCAGUGGCGAAGGCGGCUCACUGGACGACUGUUGACGCUGAGGCUCGAAAGUGCGGGGAUCAAACAGG